This 815-nucleotide ribosomal RNA is filed under the name Halomonas sp. MG. Its description in RNAcentral is "partial 16S ribosomal RNA". It matches the Rfam family "Bacterial small subunit ribosomal RNA", at positions 40 to 848 of the family's 1533-position model. Lineage: Bacteria; Pseudomonadati; Pseudomonadota; Gammaproteobacteria; Oceanospirillales; Halomonadaceae. The record is from RNAcentral.
GCAUGCGCAGCCUACCAUGCAGUCGAACGGUAGCAACCCGAGCCUGGCCUCUUUUGAGACGAGUGGCAGAGGGGUGUAUAGUGUGGGGGAAAGCGUGAGGGGGAGGGAGAUAUCUAGUGAAAAGGGUCUCUAAUACCGCAAAGUCUCACAAGACCAAAGAGGGGGACUUUCGGGCCUCUCCCCCUCAUGUGCCCCCAUAGGAUAUUCUCUUAUGUGGGGGGUAGGGGCUCCCCUGCGACAAUACCCCUCUGGGGUCAGAGGAGAAGACCCCCCACUGUGAAUGAGACACGGUCCCCACACUCCUAGGGGGCGCCACUGUGGAAAAUUUUGCACUGGGCGCGCACCCGAGACGCCCCCGCGCCGUGUGUAAAAAAAGCGCCUUCGUUUUGUAAUAUUUUUUCCGCGGAGGAGAGGGUUGUGGUUUUUAUCCCCUUCCAUAGUGAUUUCCCCCGCAAAAAACACCCCGGCUCUCUCCGUGCCCACCCGCGCUAUUAUAGAGAGGGCGCACGUUUUUCUCAGAUAUAGUGCGCAUAGCGCACACGCGCGCUGUGUGUUAUCUGAUAUGUGAUCUCCCCGCUCUCACUGUGAGAUGUGUACUAGACUGUGACGCGCGUGUCUCGUAUAGAGGGGUAUAAACUCCGUGUGUCGCUGAAAAUGCAUAGAUAUCUAGAAGAAUACGUGUGGAGAGCGCCGCCCUGGACAAAACACAGACUCUCGUGUGAGAGCGUGUGGAGCGCACACGAGAAUAUACACUGUGAUACUACACUCUAUACACUAUCUACAUGUAGAUUGUGCGCUUUGACGCGUCUCUUCCA